Molecule: long non-coding RNA, 742 nt
Organism: Epinephelus moara (kelp grouper)
Lineage: Eukaryota; Metazoa; Chordata; Actinopteri; Perciformes; Serranidae
Exons: 3
Source: RefSeq, a predicted model, not a curated record
GUGUGUCUCAGCUUUCUGCUCUGCGUCUCCCCCUGACCAGACACAGAGGUUUCAGGCUCUGUCAUGAAUCACAGACGUCACCAUCACUUGCUGCCCUAGCGCUUUGGGUGACGUUGAGUCGGUAGACUGAGCUCCGACGGUCAACCUCGGUUACCAAAAAACUAAGCCCAAAUCAGAGGCAUCUCUUGAACAAGAGCAGAGGAUGAAGCUCAAGGAAGACCAACAAAGACGGUCGGAAUGUGCAGAGGCUAUGUUGGAUCUCCAACAGACAGCUGAGAGCCCGGGUAUGAGCCCGGAUCUGAAGCAGACAGCCGAGAGCUCCGAACCGAUGCAGCCAGCUAACAACCCACAAUCAGAGGGCAUCAGUGGGAAUGGGAUAUUAAAUGAUCAAGGCUAUGCAGAUGCUGGAUGCCAGACUGAGCUAACGAUGGAUGACAUCGAGAAGAUGGAGGAUGUUCUGAGACAGAACACAACAGAGCUGGGAAAUCUUCGGACCAAGGCACUGGACACACAGUUCAACCAGGAGUCCUUUGAAAAAAAAACAAAGACAAGACAAAGUUCUACACAGGGCUCCCGAACUUCUGAGUUUUAAUUCAGAUAUUUGAGCUGCGCAAGCCGUACAUCACCUGUGGCCCUAUGUCUGUGCUGUCUAAAUUUGAACAGUUCAUUUUAGUUUUGAUGAGGCUGAGACUAAAUCUCCCGCUGAAAGAUUUAGCUUUCAGGUUCAAGAUCUCUCUGCCCA